UCUCCGUUGGUGAACCAGCGGAGGGAUCAUUACAGAGUUGCAAAACUCCAAAACCAUUGUGAACGUUACCUAUCCCGUUGCUUCGGCGGGCGGCCCGGGCCCCGCGCCCGGCGCCCCCCGGCCCCCCGUGGGCGCCCGCCGGAGGUAAACCAAACCCUUGAAUUGCAUGGCCUCUCUGAGUCUUCUGUACUGAAUAAGUCAAAACUUUCAACAACGGAUCUCUUGGUUCUG
This 231-nucleotide unclassified non-coding RNA is filed under the name plant metagenome. RNAcentral describes it as "partial contains small subunit ribosomal RNA, internal transcribed spacer 1, and 5.8S ribosomal RNA". The record is from RNAcentral.